UUGAAGAGUUUGAUCAUGGCUCAGAUUGAACGCUGGCGGCAGGCCUAACACAUGCAAGUCGAGCGGUAGCACAGAGAGCUUGCUCUCGGGUGACGAGCGGCGGACGGGUGAGUAAUGUCUGGGAAACUGCCUGAUGGAGGGGGAUAACUACUGGAAACGGUAGCUAAUACCGCAUAAUGUCGCAAGACCAAAGUGGGGGACCUUCGGGCCUCAUGCCAUCAGAUGUGCCCAGAUGGGAUUAGCUAGUAGGUGGGGUAACGGCUCACCUAGGCGACGAUCCCUAGCUGGUCUGAGAGGAUGACCAGCCACACUGGAACUGAGACACGGUCCAGACUCCUACGGGAGGCAGCAGUGGGGAAUAUUGCACAAUGGGCGCAAGCCUGAUGCAGCCAUGCCGCGUGUGUGAAGAAGGCCUUCGGGUUGUAAAGCACUUUCAGCAGGGAGGAAGGCGAUAAGGUUAAUAACCUUGUCGAUUGACGUUACCCGCAGAAGAAGCACCGGCUAACUCCGUGCCAGCAGCCGCGGUAAUACGGAGGGUGCAAGCGUUAAUCGGAAUUACUGGGCGUAAAGCGCACGCAGGCGGUCUGUCAAGUCGGAUGUGAAAUCCCCGGGCUCAACCUGGGAACUGCAUUCGAAACUGGCAGGCUAGAGUCUUGUAGAGGGGGGUAGAAUUCCAGGUGUAGCGGUGAAAUGCGUAGAGAUCUGGAGGAAUACCGGUGGCGAAGGCGGCCCCCUGGACAAAGACUGACGCUCAGGUGCGAAAGCGUGGGGAGCAAACAGGAUUAGAUACCCUGGUAGUCCACGCCGUAAACGAUGUCGAUUUGGAGGUUGUGCCCUUGAGGCGUGGCUUCCGGAGCUAACGCGUUAAAUCGACCGCCUGGGGAGUACGGCCGCAAGGUUAAAACUCAAAUGAAUUGACGGGGGCCCGCACAAGCGGUGGAGCAUGUGGUUUAAUUCGAUGCAACGCGAAGAACCUUACCUGGUCUUGACAUCCACAGAACUUAGCAGAGAUGCUUUGGUGCCUUCGGGAACUGUGAGACAGGUGCUGCAUGGCUGUCGUCAGCUCGUGUUGUGAAAUGUUGGGUUAAGUCCCGCAACGAGCGCAACCCUUAUCCUUUGUUGCCAGCGGUCCGGCCGGGAACUCAAAGGAGACUGCCAGUGAUAAACUGGAGGAAGGUGGGGAUGACGUCAAGUCAUCAUGGCCCUUACGACCAGGGCUACACACGUGCUACAAUGGCAUAUACAAAGAGAAGCGACCUCGCGAGAGCAAGCGGACCUCAUAAAGUAUGUCGUAGUCCGGAUUGGAGUCUGCAACUCGACUCCAUGAAGUCGGAAUCGCUAGUAAUCGUAGAUCAGAAUGCUACGGUGAAUACGUUCCCGGGCCUUGUACACACCGCCCGUCACACCAUGGGAGUGGGUUGCAAAAGAAGUAGGUAGCUUAACCUUCGGGAGGGCGCUUACCACUUUGUGAUUCAUGACUGGGGUGAAGUCGUAACAAGGUAACCGUAGGGGAACCUGCGGUUGGAUCACCUCCUU
RNAcentral lists this ribosomal RNA (1536 nucleotides) under Klebsiella quasipneumoniae subsp. quasipneumoniae. RNAcentral's name for it is "bacterial SSU rRNA". It matches the Rfam family "Bacterial small subunit ribosomal RNA". The record is from RNAcentral. Lineage: Bacteria; Pseudomonadati; Pseudomonadota; Gammaproteobacteria; Enterobacterales; Enterobacteriaceae.